AAAUUGUUGAAAGGGAAGCGUUUGUGACCAGACUUGCGCCGGGCAGCUCAUCAGGGGUUCUCCCCUGUGCACUCUGCCCGGCUCAGGCCAGCAUCGGUUCUCGUGGGAGGAUAAGAACGGUGGGAACGUGGCCCCCCUCCGGGGGGGUGUUAUAGCCUGUUGUACGAUACUCUCGUGGGGACCGAGGUUCGCGCUCCGCAAGGAUGCUGGCGUAAUGGUCAUCAGCGACCCGUCUUGAAACACGGACCAAGGAGUCGUCCAUUAGAGCGAGCGUUUGGGUGUAAAACCCGCACGCGUAAUGAAAGUGAACGCAGGUGAGAGCUUCGGCGCAUCAUCGACCGAUCCUGAUGUCUUCGGAUGGAUUUGAGUAAGAGUUUUAACGGACGGACCCGAAAGACAGUGAACUAUGCUUGUAUAGGGUGAAGCCAGAGGAAACUCUGGUGGAGGCUCGCAGCGGUUCUGACGUGCAAAUCGAU
Molecule: ribosomal RNA, 476 nt
Filed under: Cytospora ceratosperma
Lineage: Eukaryota; Fungi; Ascomycota; Sordariomycetes; Diaporthales; Cytosporaceae
Description: partial large subunit ribosomal RNA
Rfam family: Eukaryotic large subunit ribosomal RNA
Source: RNAcentral